RNAcentral lists this ribosomal RNA (37 nucleotides) under Acanthotrema tridactyla. RNAcentral's name for it is "partial 5.8S ribosomal RNA". Lineage: Eukaryota; Metazoa; Platyhelminthes; Trematoda; Opisthorchiida; Heterophyidae. The record is from RNAcentral.
GUACAACUCUGAGCGGUGGGAUCACUCGGCUCGUGUG